CGCGACCCCAGGUCAGGCGGGGGUACCCGCUGAAUUUA
RNAcentral lists this ribosomal RNA (38 nucleotides) under Cliffortia subsetacea. RNAcentral's name for it is "partial 26S ribosomal RNA". The record is from RNAcentral. Lineage: Eukaryota; Viridiplantae; Streptophyta; Magnoliopsida; Rosales; Rosaceae.